GAUGAACGCUGGCGGCGUGCUUAACACAUGCAAGUCGAACGGUGAAGGCGGAGCUUGCUCUGCUGGAUCAGUGGCGAACGGGUGAGUAACACGUGAGCAAUCUGCCCCUGACUCUGGGAUAAGCGCUGGAAACGGCGUCUAAUACUGGAUACGAGCUGCGAAGGCAUCUUCAGCAGCUGGAAAGAGCUUCGGUCAGGGAUGAGCUCGCGGCCUAUCAGCUUGUUGGUGAGGUAACGGCUCACCAAGGCGUCGACGGGUAGCCGGCCUGAGAGGGUGACCGGCCACACUGGGACUGAGACACGGCCCAGACUCCUACGGGAGGCAGCAGUGGGGAAUAUUGCACAAUGGGCGAAAGCCUGAUGCAGCAACGCCGCGUGAGGGACGACGGCCUUCGGGUUGUAAACCUCUUUUAGCAGGGAAGAAGCGAAAGUGACGGUACCUGCAGAAAAAGCGCCGGCUAACUACGUG
RNAcentral lists this ribosomal RNA (468 nucleotides) under uncultured bacterium. RNAcentral's name for it is "partial 16S ribosomal RNA". It matches the Rfam family "Bacterial small subunit ribosomal RNA", at positions 28 to 507 of the family's 1533-position model. The record is from RNAcentral.